RNAcentral lists this ribosomal RNA (493 nucleotides) under uncultured bacterium. RNAcentral's name for it is "partial 16S ribosomal RNA". It matches the Rfam family "Bacterial small subunit ribosomal RNA", at positions 28 to 506 of the family's 1533-position model. The record is from RNAcentral.
GACGAACGCUGGCGGCGUGCUUAACACAUGCAAGUCGAACGGUGAAGCGCCUUCCUUUUUGGUGGGUGUGGAUGAGUGGCGAGCGGGUGAGUAACACGUGAGUAACCUGCCCCCUCCUUCUGGAUAACCGCAUGAAAGUGUGGCUAAUACGGGAUAUUCUGGGUCUGUCGCAUGAUGGGUCUGGGAAAGAUUUUGUUUCGGUGGGGGAUGGGCUCGCGGCCUAUCAGCUUGUUGGUGGGGUGAUGGCCUACCAAGGCGGUGACGGGUAGCCGGCCUGAGAGGGUGGACGGACAGGCAGGGAGUGAGGGACGGGACAGAUACGGGCGGGAGGCGGCGGGGAGGUAUAGCGAUGGGUGGGCGCAUGCCGGAGGCAGCGACGGCGCGUGAGGAAUGGAGGCGGUCGGGUGGUGAACCUCAUUCGCGAGGAAAGCAUGCCUGCGUCGUUUGUGGGUGGUUGGACGGUAGCUAGAAAAGAGGCGCCGGCAAACUACGU